RNAcentral lists this ribosomal RNA (381 nucleotides) under uncultured eukaryote. RNAcentral's name for it is "SSU rRNA". It matches the Rfam family "Eukaryotic small subunit ribosomal RNA", at positions 587 to 972 of the family's 1831-position model. The record is from RNAcentral.
AGCUCCAAUAGCAUAUACCAAUUCUGCUGCUGUUGAAAAGCUCGUAGUUGGAUCUUACCCAAGAGCGCGGUCCGUCUCCAUGACUGGUACUGUGUCUCGAGGGAGCUUUUGUUGGUCUUCUCAUGGUGCUCUUAAUUGAGUGUCUUGGGUGGCUGACGGAUUUACUUUGAAAAAAUUAGAGUGCUCAAAACAGGCGGUACUGCCCGAAUAGUGGUGCAUGGAAUAAUGGAAUAGGAUCUCGGUUCUAUUUUGUUGGUUUUAGGAGCUGAGAUAAUGAUUAAGAGAGACAGACGGGGGCAUUUGUAUUGCGGCGUUAGAGGUGAAAUUCUUGGAUCGCCGCAAGACAAACAAUUGCGAAAGCAUUUGCCAAGAAUGUUUUCA